AUGGCUAGCUUCGGCGUCGACACGCGCCCCGCCGCGGCGGGGGAGGGGGCGCUCUCCUUCCUCUCCCGGAGCCUGCGGGAGGACCUGCGCCUCAUCCGCGCGCGCGCCGGGGAGCUCGAGACCUUCCUCAGCGCGCCGGUCCCGGAGCCCGACCUCUUCGCGCGCCUCCGGAGGGCCUACAACACCACCUCCUCCUCCUCCGCCGCCUCGGGGAUCGGGAGGACGCGCCUGGACCUGUCGGCGAUAGGGAAGGCGUUCGAGGCCGAGGUCGGGAGGGGGUGGGGGGCCAAGACCGGGUGGAGGUGGGAGGACGAGGACGCCGCCGAGUGGGAGCCCAUACGGGCCGUCAAGGCGCGCCUCAGGGACCUCGACCGCAAGCGCCAGGACCAGGCCAGCGACGUGCUCCACAAGGUCAAGCUCAGCCUGAAAUCGAUGAGCUUUGCACCUGAAGCAUCUGAGGAAGUUCCACCACUGGAUUUAAACGAACUCCUUGCGUAUUUUCUAAAGCAAUCUGGACCAUUGUUUGACCAACUUGGCAUAAAAAGAGAUGUGUGUGACAAGUUGGUGGAGUCUCUAUGCAGCAAGCGCAAGGAUCACUUUGCAUAUGAUCCGUUGUCAACUAGUGAAUCAUCUUCCUUCAGAAAUGACAAUACUUGUGAUGAACUUGACCUAAGAAUAGCUAGCGUCCUUCAGAGUACAGGGCAUCAUUAUGAAGGUGGUUUUUGGGAUGAUGGGCAAAAAUAUGAUGUAGCUGACAAGAGACACGUUGCCAUUGUCACUACCGCCAGUCUUCCCUGGAUGACGGGAACAGCUGUAAAUCCUUUGUUUCGAGCUGCAUACUUGGCUAAAUCUUCCAAGCAAUACGUAACCUUGAUGGUGCCCUGGCUUUGCAAGUCAGACCAAGAGCUCGUCUAUCCGAAUAACAUGACUUUUAGUUCUCCAGAAGACCAAGAAACUUAUAUAAGGAAUUGGCUGGAGGAAAGAGUUGGAUUUAAAACCGACUUCAGAAUAUCAUUCUACCCUGGAAAGUUUCAGAAAGAAAGGAGAAGUAUAAUUCCUGCUGGGGAUACUUCACAAUUUAUACCAUCGAAGGAAGCUGACAUUGCAAUUCUGGAAGAGCCUGAGCACCUGAACUGGUACCAUCAUGGAAAGCGUUGGACUGAUAAAUUUAAUCAUGUUGUCGGUGUUGUGCAUACAAAUUACUUGGAGUAUAUCAAGAGAGAGAAGAAUGGUGCUAUUCAAGCUUUUUUUGUCAAGCACAUUAACAACCUUGUUGCCAGAGCUUAUUGCCAUAAGGUUUUGCGACUAUCUGGGGCUACUCAAGAUCUAGCCAGAUCCAUGAUCUGCAAUGUACAUGGUGUUAAUCCCAAGUUUCUGGAGGUUGGGGAGAGAAUAGCAGCAGAGAGGGAAUCUGGCGAGCAGUCCAUGUCCAAAGGAGCUUAUUUUCUGGGGAAGAUGGUCUGGGCCAAAGGCUACAGAGAACUGAUAGAUUUGCUUGCGAAGCACAAGACAGAUUUGGACGGUUUCAAAUUGGACGUCUAUGGAAAUGGUGAAGAUUCAGUUGAAGUGCAAUCAGCUGCCAAGAAGCUGGAUUUGAAUCUUAACUUCCAUAAAGGCCGAGAUCAUGCAGACGAUUCUCUUCAUGGGUACAAGGUUUUUGUAAACCCGAGCAUUAGUGAUGUCCUCUGCACCGCCACUGCUGAGGCGCUAGCCAUGGGCAAGUUUGUGGUCUGCGCAGAUCACCCAUCCAACGAUUUCUUCAGAUCAUUCCCAAACUGCCUGGUGUACACAACGUCAGAGGAUUUCGUUGCCAAAGUGAAGGAAGCAAUGACCCGUGAUCCCCAGCCCCUCACACCUGAGCAGCGGUACAACCUUUCGUGGGAGGCUGCGACCCAGAGGUUCAUGGAGCACUCGGAGCUGGACAAGGUCCUGAGCAGCAAUGGUGAUUGUGCCAGCACAUCUGGAAACAGCGUCGACAGGAGGAUGAAGAAAUCAGCCUCGUUGCCAAACAUGUCGGACAUCGUGGAUGGCGGCCUAGCAUUUGCCCACUACUGCUUCACGGGCAGCGAGCUUCUCCGGCUGUCGACCGGGGCGGUGCCCGGGACCCUGAACUACAACAAGCAACAUAGCGUGGACAUGCACCUGCUGCCCCCUCAGGUACAGAAUCCUGUAUAUGGCUGGUAA
Molecule: ribosomal RNA, 2184 nt
Filed under: Triticum aestivum (bread wheat)
Lineage: Eukaryota; Viridiplantae; Streptophyta; Magnoliopsida; Poales; Poaceae
Description: partial small subunit ribosomal RNA
Source: RNAcentral